AGUGAACGCUGGCGGUAGGCCUAACACAUGCAAGUCGAACGGCAGCACAGUAAGAGCUUGCUCUUACGGGUGGCGAGUGGCGGACGGGUGAGGAAUACAUCGGAAUCUCCUUUUUCUUGGGUGAUAACGUAGGGAAACUUACGCUAAUACCGCAUACGACCUACGGGUGAAAGCAGGGGAUCUUCGCACCUUGCGCGAUUCAAUGAGCCGAUGUCGGAUUAGCUAGUUGGCGGGGUAACGGCCCACCCAGCCGACGAUCCGUAGAUGGUCUGAGAGGAUGAUCAGCCACACUGGAACGGAGACACGGUCCAGACUACUACGGGAGGCAGCAGUGGGGAAUAUUGGACAAUGGGCGCAAGCAUGAUCCAGCCAGACCGCGUGGGUGAAGAAGGCCUUCGGGUUGUAAAGCCCUUUUGUUGGGAAAGAAAAGCAGCAGGUUAAGACCCCGCGGUUCUGACGGUACCCAAAGAAUAAGCACCGGCUAACUUCGUG
Molecule: ribosomal RNA, 492 nt
Filed under: uncultured bacterium
Lineage: Bacteria
Description: partial 16S ribosomal RNA
Rfam family: Bacterial small subunit ribosomal RNA
Source: RNAcentral